GGUCGAUUCUGGCUCAGAUUGAACGCUGGCGGGAUGCUUACACAUGCAAGUCGAACGGCAGCACGGACUUCUUGGUCCGUGGCGAGUGGCACUGGCGUGAGUAAUGUAUCGGAACGUGCCUAGUAGCGGGGGAUAACUACGCGAAAGCGUAGCUAAUACGCAUGGCUGUUCUUCGGGAAAGCGGGGGACCUUCGGGCCUGCACUAUUAGAGCGGCCGAUAUCGGAUUAGCUGGGUUGUGGGUAACGGCUCACCAAGGCGACGAUCCGUGAAGCUGGUUUGAGAGCACGACUCCAGCCACACUGGGACUGAGACACGGCCCAGACUACGGGAGGCAGCAGUGGGGAAUUUUGGACAAUGGGGAAAUCCUGAUCCAGCCAUCCUUUAUGCAAAGAUGAAGGCCUCGGGUUGUAAAGCACUUUGGCAGGGAAAGAAAUGCACGGGAUAAUACCCCGUGCAACUGACGGUACCUGCAGAAUAAGCACCGGCUAACUACGUGCCAGCAGCCGUUGCGGUAAUACGUAGGGGUGCAAGCGCGUUAAUCGGAAUUACUGGGCGUAAAGCGUGCGCAGGCGGUUCGAAAGAAAGAUGUGAAAUCCCAGAGUUUAACUUUGAUCCGCAUUUUUAACUACCGAGCUAGAGUGUGUCAGAGGGAGGUGGAAUUCGCGUAGCAGUGAAAUGCGUAGAUAUGCGGAGGAACACCGAUGGCGAAGGCAGCCUCCUGGGAUAACACUGACGCUCAUGCACGAAAGCGUGGGGAGCAAACAGGAUUAGAUACCCUGGUAGUCCACGCCCCAAACGAUGUCAACUAGCUUUCGUUGGGGCCUUCGGCCUUGGUAGCAGCUAACUGGCAGGAAGUUGACCGCCUGGGGAGACACGCAAGAUUAAAACUCAGCGAAUUGACGGGGACCCGCACAAGGGUGGAUGAUGGAUUAAUUCGAUGCAACGCGAAAACCUUACCUACCCUUGACAUGUCUGGAAUCCCGAAGAUUGGGAGUGCUCGCAUGCAGAACCGGAACACAGGUGCUGCAUGGCUGUCGUCAGCUCGUGGCCGUGAGAUGUUGGGUUAAGUCCCGCAACGAGCGCAACCCUUGUCAUUAGUUACAUGGAAAGCGGCGUGUAAUUUAAUGAGACUUGCCGGUGACAAACCGGAGGAAGGCGGGGAUGACGUCAAGUCCUCGCUGCCCCGGUGGUAGGGCUUCACCAUACGUCAUACAAUGGUCGGGACAGAGGGUCGCCAACCUCGCGAGGGGGAGCCAAUCCCAGAAACCCGAUCGUAGUCCGGAUCGUGAAGCCCGUAACUCGACUGCGUGAAGUCGGAAUCGCCAGUAAUCGCGGAUCAGCAUGUCGCGGUGAAUACGUUCCCGGUCUUGUACACACCGCCCGUCACACCAUGGGAGUGGGUUUUACCAGAAGUAGUUAGCCUAACCGUAAGGAGGGCGAUUACCACGGUAGGAUUCAGACUGGGGUGAAGUCGUAACAAGGUAA
RNAcentral lists this ribosomal RNA (1486 nucleotides) under uncultured Bordetella sp. RNAcentral's name for it is "partial 16S-23S ribosomal RNA intergenic spacer". It matches the Rfam family "Bacterial small subunit ribosomal RNA". Lineage: Bacteria; Pseudomonadati; Pseudomonadota; Betaproteobacteria; Burkholderiales; Alcaligenaceae. The record is from RNAcentral.